Molecule: unclassified non-coding RNA, 866 nt
Filed under: Hevea brasiliensis (rubber tree)
Lineage: Eukaryota; Viridiplantae; Streptophyta; Magnoliopsida; Malpighiales; Euphorbiaceae
Source: RNAcentral
CUUAGCAAAUUUUCAAGUUUUCCUAAGGUUACUUCCAGCGUUUAGCAAUGGCUGCCAGUGAUGACGAGCUCAUAGACUAUGAUUUCUACGACGAUGAUGAUCUCUGUACCUUUGGCGAUGAUUCCGACGCUAGUUCUGAAAACGACUACAUCCCCGAAACCGAUGAUGAACAGCCGGAGGAGAAAAACUACACCGUUUUGAAAGAAGCAGACAUCAAGCGGCGUCAGGAGGAAGAUAUAACAGAAGUUUCCAAUGUUCUUUCGAUACCCAAAAGAUAUGCAUGUAUCCUUCUUCGUCGCUAUAGGUGGACUGUUAGUCAAGCCCUCGAUAGCUGGUUUGCUAAUGAAGAGGAGGCACGUAAAUCCGCUGGCUUGAUGGGCAAGGACGACGAAGUUGUUACUUCUUGCGAGAUCAGAGAACUUACUUGCCAUAUCUGUUAUGAACGCCAUUCUUGUAGAAAGUUUUCUACUGCUGCUUGUGGUCACCCUUUCUGUAAUUCUUGCUGGUCGAGAUAUGUAAAAGUAAGUAUUGAUGAUGGUGCUUGUUGCUUGAUUCUGCCAUGCCCUGAUCCGUCCUGUCGAGUUGCUGUUGAUCAAGAUCUGAUCAAUUCUUUCAAGGAGUUGCCUGAGGAAUAUAAGGCAAGGUAUGCGAGGUUCCUUCUUAGAUCCUAUGUGGAAGAGUGUGGGAAAAGGAGAAUCAAGUGGUGCCCAGGACCUGGAUGUGAGAAUGCUGUGGAGUUUUCUUCUGGGAAUUGUAAAAACUUCGAUGUGUUGUGUGAUUGUUCUCAUGAAUUUUGCUGGAAUUGUCCAGCAGACGAGGCUCACAGUCCGGCGAAUUGCGAGAUGGUGGCAAAGUGGAUGAAGAAG